RNAcentral lists this ribosomal RNA (253 nucleotides) under uncultured bacterium. RNAcentral describes it as "partial 16S ribosomal RNA". It matches the Rfam family "Bacterial small subunit ribosomal RNA", at positions 524 to 776 of the family's 1533-position model. The record is from RNAcentral.
UACAGAGGCCCCGAGCGUUGUUCGGAUUCACUGGGCGUAAAGGGUGCGUAGGUGGUGAGGAAAGUCGGAUGUGAAAUCUCCAAGCUCAACUUGGAAAUGGCAUUGGAAACUACCUUGCUGGAGGUUUGGAGGGGGGACUGGAAUACUUGGUGUAGCAGUGAAAUGCGUAGAUAUCAAGUGGAACACCAGUGGCGAAGGCGAGUCCCUGGACAACACCUGACGCUCAUGCACGAAAGCGUGGGGAGCAAACAGG